UACGUAGGGUGCGAGCGUUAAUCGGAAUUACUGGGCGUAAAGUGUGCGCAGGCGGCUUCGCAAGUCGAGUGUGAAAUCCCCGAGCUUAACUUGGGAAUUGCGCUCGAAACUACGGAGCUGGAGUGUGGCAGAGGAAGGUGGAAUUCCACGUGUAGCGGUGAAAUGCGUAGAGAUUUGGAGGAACACCAGUGGCGAAGGCGGCUUUCUGGUCUGUAACUGACGCUGAGGCGCGAAAGCGUGGGGAGCAAACAGG
RNAcentral lists this ribosomal RNA (253 nucleotides) under uncultured bacterium. Its description in RNAcentral is "partial 16S ribosomal RNA". It matches the Rfam family "Bacterial small subunit ribosomal RNA", at positions 524 to 776 of the family's 1533-position model. The record is from RNAcentral.